ACUUUUAUACCCAGUGGAAAAUUUUUUCAAUGUAAAGAUGAACUGUACAAAAAGUCUAUGAAAGCAUGUUUUAAAUUACAACAAUGUAUGUCAUCGUCAAACCCUAGUGUUUCAACUUUACUUCAUUUAUAUGACCAUACUGUAAAACCAAUUUUAACCUAUGGAUGUGAAGUCUGGGGUAUGUUUUCUGUAAACUCAGCU
RNAcentral lists this long non-coding RNA (201 nucleotides) under Mytilus galloprovincialis (Mediterranean mussel). The record is from RNAcentral. Lineage: Eukaryota; Metazoa; Mollusca; Bivalvia; Mytilida; Mytilidae.